AAAUGGAUCCUCUGGGUGCUCAACAGAAGGUCUUAGAAAUAGCUAAUAGCCUGGUUCUCAAUGUUUCUGUUGCUGUGGCUCACGAGGUGUCUGUCACUAAUAUAGUAGGUUCAGGAUUUUCACCAGCAAAAUCAUAUAUCAUGGAGGGUGGUAUCAGCACCUACUUGGGAGCUGCUCCUAUUGUUCGUUGCCUUGAAAAGUACCAACCAAAUGUAAUAAUUACAUCGAGAAUUGCAUAUGCUACUUUAUUCUUAGCACCUAUGGUUUAUGAGCUAGGAUGGAACUGGGAUGAAUUAGAACAUCUAGCUCAAGGAUCUUUGGCUGGCCAUCUUCUAGAAUGUGGUUGCCAACUCACG
Molecule: long non-coding RNA, 356 nt
Organism: Glycine soja
Lineage: Eukaryota; Viridiplantae; Streptophyta; Magnoliopsida; Fabales; Fabaceae
Exons: 4
Source: RefSeq, a predicted model, not a curated record